Molecule: ribosomal RNA, 481 nt
Filed under: uncultured bacterium
Lineage: Bacteria
Description: bacterial SSU rRNA
Rfam family: Bacterial small subunit ribosomal RNA
Source: RNAcentral
AUUGAACGCUGGCGGCAGGCCUAACACAUGCAAGUCGAGCGGAUGAAAGGGGCUCGCUCCUGGAUUCAGCGGCGGACGGGUGAGUAAUACGCAGGAAUCUACCUAGUAGUGGGGGAUAACGUUUCGAAAGGGGCGCUAAUACCGCAUACGUUCUGAGGAAGAAAGCAGGGGAUCGCAAGACCUUGCGCUAUUAGAUGAGCUUGCGUCCGAUUAGCUAGUUGGUGGGGUAAAGGCCUACCAAGGCGACGAUCUUUAGCUGGUCUGAGAGGAUGAUCAGCCACACUGGGACUGAGACACGGCCCAGACUCCUACGGGAGGCAGCAGUGGGGAAUAUUGGACAAUGGGCGAAAGCCUGAUCCAGCAAUGCCGCGUGAGUGAUGAAGGCCUUAGGGUUGUAAAGCUCUUUUACCAGGGAUGAUAAUGACAGUACCUGGAGAAUAAGCUCCGGCUAACUCCGUGCCAGCAGCCGCGGUAAAGUGUG